This 497-nucleotide ribosomal RNA is filed under the name uncultured bacterium. RNAcentral's name for it is "partial 16S ribosomal RNA". It matches the Rfam family "Bacterial small subunit ribosomal RNA", at positions 899 to 1397 of the family's 1533-position model. The record is from RNAcentral.
ACUCAAAUGAAUUGACGGGGGCCCGCACAAGCGGUGGAGCAUGUGGUUCAAUUCGACGCAACGCGAAGAACCUUACCCAGGCUCGAACGGUGAGUGACAUCCUAUGAAAGUAGGCUUCCGCAAGGACAGUCACCGAGGUGCUGCAUGGCUGUCGUCAGCUCGUGUCGUGAGAUGUUGGGUUAAGUCCCGCAACGAGCGCAACCCUUGUCCGCUGUUGCCAUCACGUUAUGGUGGGCACUCUGCGGAGACUGCCGGUGAUAAACCGGAGGAAGGUGGGGAUGACGUCAAGUCAGCAUGGCCUUUAUGUCUGGGGCUACACACGUGCUACAAUGGCCGAUACAAACCGUCGCGAUCCCGCAAGGGGGAGCUAAUCGGAGAAAGUCGGUCUCAGUUCGGAUUGCAGGCUGCAACUCGCCUGCAUGAAGUUGGAAUCGCUAGUAAUCGCGGAUCAGCACGCCGCGGUGAAUACGUUCCCGGGCCUUGUACACACCGCCCGU